RNAcentral lists this unclassified non-coding RNA (981 nucleotides) under Hevea brasiliensis (rubber tree). Lineage: Eukaryota; Viridiplantae; Streptophyta; Magnoliopsida; Malpighiales; Euphorbiaceae. The record is from RNAcentral.
UCUUGUUGUGGACAAGAAUCCAGCAGCUGGAGAUUUUACAUCCAUUCAAGACGCUAUUGAUUCUCUUCCAUUCAUUAAUCUUGUGAGAGUGGUCAUCAAGGUCCAUGCAGGAGUUUACAAAGAGAAAGUUAAUAUACCUCCCUUAAAAUCCUUCAUAACCAUAGAAGGAGCAGGAGCAGAUAAAACAAUUGUACAAUGGGGAGACACUGCUCAAACACCAGGGGCGAAAGGGCAACCUAUGGGGACCUACAAUUCUGCAACUUUUGCUGUGAAUUCACCUUAUUUUAUUGCCAAGAACAUUACAUUCAAGAAUACAACACCAGUGCCACCACCAGGAGCAAUAGGAAAGCAAGCAGUAGCAUUUAGAAUAUCAGCAGAUACAGCAGUUUUCUUGGGGUGUAGAUUCUUAGGAGCACAGGACACACUAUAUGAUCAUCUGGGCAGGCAUUAUUACAAGGAUUGUUACAUUGAAGGUUCUGUGGACUUCAUCUUUGGGAAUGGCUUGUCUUUAUUUGAGGGUUGUCACGUGCAUGCAAUAGCACAGAAUAUUGGAGCUCUAACAGCACAAGGAAGAGGCAGUAUCCUGGAGGACACGGGGUUUUCAUUCGUGAACUGUAAGGUCACGGGGUCAGGAGCUCUGUACCUUGGAAGGGCAUGGGGUCCUUUUUCAAGAGUCGUGUUUGCUUACACUUACAUGGACAACGUUAUCAUACCUAAAGGCUGGUAUAACUGGGGAGACCCUACCCGUGAAAUGACUGUGUUCUAUGGGCAAUACAAGUGCACAGGACCAGGAGCUAGCUUCGCAGGGAGAGUCUCAUGGUGUAGAGAACUCACUGAUCAGGAGGCUAAGCCUUUUAUUUCCCUCAGCUUCAUUGAUGGGUCUGAAUGGAUCAAAAUAUAAACGUAUUUAUAUUUUUCACAGUAUAAUUUUAUGUCCUUGUCAAUUAGCAUUUGUAAAAGCCAUCUUAGUGAUAAUUUUGG